RNAcentral lists this ribosomal RNA (1578 nucleotides) under Triticum aestivum (bread wheat). RNAcentral describes it as "partial small subunit ribosomal RNA". Lineage: Eukaryota; Viridiplantae; Streptophyta; Magnoliopsida; Poales; Poaceae. The record is from RNAcentral.
AUGCAGAGCGCGACGCGGCUGACUCUGCUGCUGUGCGCGGCGUGGGUAGCCGCGCUGCUCUACGGCGAGAUGGGCGCCUACUGGGCCGCCCACCUCUCCUGCUCCUGGCCAUCCGCAUCCUCUUCCUCCCCAUCGCCGAGUAACCAUGUCAAGGUUGCCGUCAUUGCUGAUCCACAGCUUAUGGACAGCACCUCCCUUGGUCUACCACGAAGCUCAGUUGCACUGCAAGCUGCAGAGUUCUUCACAGAUUUGAACAUGAGAAGAUCCUUCCAGUCUGUGAUAUUGCCGUUCAAGCCUGAUGUCGUCUUAUUUCUCGGUGACUAUUUUGAUGGGGGCGCACAUAUAUUGGAUGAAGAGUGGCAGGAUUCUCUAUUCCGAUUUAAGCAUAUAUUCAGCAUGAGCGAACAGAGGACAAGUCCCCAUGUCCCAAUCUACUAUCUUUCAGGAAAUCAUGAUAUCGGUUACUCAGCAUUUCACUCAGUUCAUCCUGAGGUUAUCAGUCGAUACGAAAAAGAAUUUGGACCAAGAAACUUCCAUUUUUUGUCUGGGAAGGUGGACUUUGUUGUUGUUGAUGCUCAAACUCUUGAUGGAGGAGCCAAACAGAGCAAAGAAAGAUCCUCUUCUUGGGAGUUCAUCAAAACGCUAUCAUCUGGUAAUGAAUCAAAUCCAAAAAUUCUACUAACGCACAUUCCCCUGUACCGACCUGACAAUACUCCGUGUGGCCCACAUCGUUCUUCACCUGCUAUUAAUCAGAGGAUAUAUAGCGCUGCUAUGGACCAAGGAAUCAAGUAUCAGAAUUAUCUAAGUAAACAGACUUCCGAUCUUUUGCUAGGGCUGCUGAAGCCGACUCUUGUGCUCUCAGGGCAUGACCACGACCAGUGCACAGUUGUCCACUCCACUCCUUUUGGGCCAGUAACGGAGCACACCCUUGGGACAAUUAGUUGGCAGCAGGGAAAUCUGUAUCCAUCUUUUAUGCUGCUAUCUGCUGGGCCCCGAAAUUCUACUGAUUCUAGUCAGGAGGUUCUGACGAAUCUUUGCUUCCUGCCUAAACAAACUCAUAUCUAUAUCUGGUAUAUCUUUCAGUUUGUGGUUACCGUCCUUCUGCUGAUGUUUUGGCCAACAAAUGGUCUAAGCUCUCUUCCCUACGUGAACACAUUUGUGAGCUUUAUGAGUUCGGCGGGUGCUGACCUGUUUCCAAGAAGCAAAGAAAAAGAUGAUGCGGAAGAUGGCGAAUAUGAAAUGGUUUGGGAUGCAGAGGGAUCCAUGCACCUGGUUAAAAAAGCGGUGGCAAGGCCCCCCAUCACUAACUCAGACUCCAAAACUACAGGACGAGGAAAUGUUGUGGCAAGGCCAACUGCGAGAAAGCACCAACCUGAACCUGAUUCAUCAUCUGUUCAUGUUGAGAUGGGAUCUGAAACGGCGCCAGAAGAUGGAGGGAAGGCGCCUCGCCCGAGCAAAUGGAAAAUAAGGACGGUCCUCCAGAGGCUGUUCCGCGUCGUUCAGUCGGUUGCCAUUAUUGCCGUGCUGAAUGUUCCUCUAUAUAUGAUGCUUCUGUUUAAGGAUUGGGUUGACCGUUGA